Lynx canadensis (Canada lynx) is the source of this 4602-nucleotide long non-coding RNA. RefSeq lists it as uncharacterized. The record is from RefSeq and is a predicted model, not a curated record. NCBI's taxonomy places the organism in Eukaryota, Metazoa, Chordata, Mammalia, Carnivora, Felidae. The transcript is spliced from 2 exons.
GGCUCACACAGACAGGAGAGAGAGCCUGAUGGCGGGGUUCAGACUCCGAACCGGGAAAUCAUGACCUAAGCCAAACUUGGACGCGUAACCGCCUGAGCCACCCAGGCGCCCCAGAAGAGAGCAACUUCAGACAGAGUCUGACCCAGUUGGGUGGGCUCUGAGUGUGUGACAGGCUCCAGCGUCAUUUUAUUUGCACAAGUAGCUCGUAAAUCCCUGGUAAAGAAGGGUGACUAGUAUCUUGCUAACCAUGGGACAAGGAGAGCUCACUGAUAGGACGGCCCCUUGAAGAUCCCAGGUAGAUUGUCCAGAAGCAUCUGCUUAUGUUUUACUCAGACCUAAUCCUUAUCCAGUAAGUGGAAUGUCAUCAAAAGGACAAUGUGCAUUUUUAGUGAUUAGGAAACAAAAUACUGGCUGCUCACAGGGGACUCUCUGAAGCAUUGUUAUUUGACUCAUCAUAUGACAUAAUAAAGCCUUAAAAAUUUGAUUGAAGAAGGCCACUGAGCCUCUAAAACCGUAACUGUGUAAUAACAAUUUCGAUUGCUCCCAGAUCAUGCUGCCUUGUGCUGGACUGGUUCGCACAGCAGUUAAGCGAAGACGUUGCUGUUUGAAGGCAAGCAGCGGACUGAGCCUGUGAAGUUAGACACAUAUUUAGAUGGUGGUGAGGCACUGGGUGGGCUUGAUGUUCGGAAAGGGCAGUAUGGUUGGCACACAAGGAUGAAGGAGAGAGUAGUGGGAAGUGAGUGAGAGAAGUAUGAAGGAGCCCCUCAUUGAGCCUUGCUGGGAAUGCCGUGCUGGUUGAUGUUUAACAUCCGGCUCUUGGGGUGGGGGCAUGGGGGAGGGGAGGCUCUGAUCUGUAAGCAUUUGUUGAUCCCUUGUGAGGCCACCCACCUGAGGUCACCAAAAGUGGAAUUGGGAAAAGAUGCCCAAAAUUGGUUCUCGCAAGCUGGAGCGGGUCGACACCAGCACACAAAGUGAUUGGGGGCUGAUGUGAGAGUUAGUGUUGACUUCUAACUGUGCUAUUUCCCCCUUGUUUAUAUUCCCCGGGGAAUAUGAGGCGUUCAGUAAAGGUUUGUUGAAGGAAUUAGUGAUUCAGUUCUCUUCCAUUCUCCAGUACGGUCAUGGAAAAUCUCUCUCAGGCAUAGAAAAUGUUUACCACUUGUGAAAUCCUGCUUUGACCCAGCUGGGCCAAUAUUUGAAAUUGAUUAAGAACGUGGGGAACAACGCAGUCUGUCCUUGUUGCAACGUGGGUUGGUUGUGUGUGAGAUCUCUUGAUCGCCCGUUAAUGGGCAGCACCCUUCUCCAAACUUUGAAGCACCCCCCCCCCCCGCGACCACCAAAGCUUCUGCUAAUCAAGCUCCUGUGAAAGCCGAUUUCUAUUUUACAAACACGGGGGGGGGACAUUCUUUGCCAUCCCCCAAAUGUGAUCAAGGUCCCUGGCUUCAGAUGUUGGCCCAGCUGCUGCGUGCUGGGGCAUGGAGAGAUGUGUCCCAAGGCUCUCCUGACAGAGGAGGAGCCCACUGUGUCAGCUUUGCUUACUCCCAGCCUUCUGUCCCCUCAUGAGCAGAUCUGUGGCAAGAGCCAUUCAGUUGUCUUCCUGCGUCUCUUCACUGUGUACGUCUGGGUCCCAAGGAAGUGUGUUGGGUGCAAAUGUUAUAACUUUUCGUGUGGGGAAAUAAAAAUAGCAUGGGGAAAAAUGAAUAAAAAGAUGAAAGGAUCGUCUGUAGUCUAAUGACUCUAAAAAAUCCUGUUAGGUUUUAUUUUGUAGCACUUUGGAUGGAUUUUCUUGGCAUAGUUAUGGUAAUCGUAUAAGAUAAUGUGCAAUUUUGUAUACUGUUUUUUUCCCCCCAUGGGCAUUUCCCCAGUGGCAUAUAUUGGGAAGCAUUUUUUAAUGCCUGCAAAAUAUUCUCAUCUUUGGAUUUUUCCAUACCUAUUAUAACUAUACUAUUGAACGUUAUUUUGUCAUGAAAACGUGAGUGAUGUAUACCACUUAAUUUUUUUCUAAUUUGGGCAUUGUUUGAUCAAAGUGUGUGAAAUACGAGCUGCUAGUUUCCUGAGGACUGGACCCAAAAACAUUUCCACCAUGCCCUGUUGGUCAAGCAACCAAGGGAUCUAGAGUUCAAGAGAGAGGAAGUGGACCUCACUUCUUGGGAAGAAUGUCAAAGAAUUUGGGGGCUUUAUUUUAAAACUUGUAAAAAGAAAAAAAAUGUUUACUUAAUAUUUAUGAAAUAUGUAUCAUUUCUCAUUUGAGAAGAUAUCUAUGGUGAAGCUGUUUAUCUGGCCCCUUAACAGAAUCACAAACCAGUGACAUUUCUUCCUAACAGAGGAGUCCAGUGGUCUUGUUUCUUGAUGAAUAUACUUACUUGUAUAGAAUAGCUUUCCAAUCAGCUGAAGCUCAUGUCUUUAGGCAUAAGCACUCAACUAUUUUAACCAGUCUGUAGAGUGCCUAUAGGCAUGGUCUUGGAAUUAUGCAAAACUUUUUUCAAUCCUGGCUACUGGUCCCAGGCUCACCAUUUACUAGCUUGGUGACCUUGGGCAAGUUUCUUAACCUCUUACUUUAUCAGUAAAGUGGGGAUAAUAAUGCUUACUUUAUAGGUUUGUUUUAUAGAUCAAAUAUGGUAACCCACACUAAAUAUUUAGUUUAGCGAAUGGCUCCUUUGUAAGUCCUCAGAAAGUAGUUAGUAGCAGUAAUACACAAGUUAAACACUGCCUUGAGCAGUAUAAAAUAGGUCACUCUCUACUGAAAACACUUUAGCUGUCUGUGGUCCCAUCCUUGUGAAUAUCCCGAUCGCCCGUCAUGACCUAUAUGGAGGAUUCACAACAUGUGCAGGCCAUCCGCUCUGUCUAGGUGGUGGCUUGGCCAGGGAUGGUUGCAGAAUUGCCCACUGCAAUCCUAGCUGGUCAGGUCUAGAUGGUCUGCGUGUUCUUUCUGUUUGGAAUGGGGCCGUGAGGGUUGUGUGUUUGAUUCGCAGUGUUUUGACCCUUCCCAGGAUUGCUUUAACCCAAGUGAGCAUGUGCCGAGUGAGAGUAUUUACCUCUUUUGGGGGAAGCGAGGAGGUCUGCCCAACACAUCUUUCACUGAGCUGAGUAUCCACAAGAGGAAGUUCAGGUUCAGGACAUGCACGUGUCUUUUGUCCAGAUGGUUUGUUUUUAAGCUUGUGAGCACCUGUGAUCUUGCAAACGAUCGUAUUUCCAUCUCUGAUUUAGCCAUUUGGAGGUAAAAUUACAGCUCUUCUCUAACAAGUUAUCGGAACCCUCUGGAACACAUGUCCCCUCCCCCUGGGAUUUCUGAUUUUCUUUCCCAUCGGGUCUGGUAGCCCACCCCCUCCUGCCCCAUGGCCACAUAGGCUGUGCACUAAGGCAUCCAGCCGAGCGAGCCCGGAGGCCGUCUUUGUCUCUGACCCCAGGCUGUGCGGGGUCGCAUCUCCUGGAUGAAGGUGCAUCAUAUUGUCCAAGGGCAUCUCUUGUUUUCUGUGUACUUCUAUCAGUAACCUCAAAUCUUUCGUGAGCGGGGGUGAGGCACAGUAGUUACCAAGAGGGUGGCCUCUGCCAGACACAAAUUAAUGAUACACACAUAUAUGAAGAAACCGGAAAUUAAGAGUUCCAUCUGCCUCGUUCUUAACUUGGACCAGGAGACAAAAAGCUAUUCAGUUCUAGAAGAGGCUCGUCAAGGGAUGGAGACAGGGAGACAGGAACACGAUGCCUCAGCUUUGUGUUUGAGAAAAUAGGGCGUCAGCUGGCAGUGCUGAAAGAAAGGUCGCUUUGAAAAUCAGUCAUUUUCUUCAGCAGACUUCUCUUUCAACUAAAAUUCAGGGAUUUCAGCUUGUGUCUGGGGCUGUUGGGCCGCUUGGCAACCCAGUAAGAAUGGCUAAUAGGAGGCGUCCUAAGCUCCAGAGGAGAGACCUCCAGGCAGAAGUGAGUUAAAACUGUUUCUCUUCUUUUUCCCAGCGGUUCUUGUGAAACCACCGGUAAACCCUGAAUGGGAAAAUAAAAAUGGCCUCCUGGGGACUUCUUGGCUUCUGGCUCGUUGGCCAGGCUAUGUAUGGCCAUGUAGCUGUGUUCCAGCCAGCAGGAGGUGAGCGGAAGCUUCGCAUGCCUCUUGUAGGCAUGACCUUUAGGAAAGGAGUGCUCUCCGCUUCCCUUUCCCCUUCCUGGUGGCUACAAUGUGGAUGACGUGGCAGGCGCUGCAGUUAAUGGCCUUGGACCAUGCGAUGUUGAGAGUAUCUGAGCAAAAAGAUGCAAAUAGCUUGGGUCGCGAACAUCAUGGAGAUCCCACAUCGGCCCCGGACCACUAUGCCCUGCAGUAUAUGAGGGAGAAAUGACAUUGCUCCCGUUGAAACCAUUGUCAUUUUGACAUUUGAUAGGAUAGGUGAACUUACAUCCUCAUCCAUAUGACUGUUUAUCUCUAUGAAAACUAAGGUGAAUGCAUUUGAGAGAGGAAGAGAAGUUGCUAAUCCAGCCUUUUUAAAAAAGCGGACAAACAACUAAAAAGGUUGGUGGGGGAUGGGCAUAGAAAUGUGGAAUGAUCCUUUAUGUGAAUUGUUCGAUUUGUCAUUAAAUGUUUGGGCCUCUUUAAAUAAAUGAAACGAGAAAUCAUGGUUCAUU